GCCAGAGCCACCGCCUCCGCCGCCGCCGCCGCUAUAGAAACCGCAGCCGCCAGAGCCGCCUCCGCUGCCGCCGCCGCCGCCACCGCCGCCACCGCCGGAGAUCUUCCCGCAGCCCACUGGGGGCUGGGGAGUGGGUUGCUUUUUCUGGUGAGACAUCUUGUCUAAGGAGGGAGGGAAGCCUGGAAAGAAAGCAGAGAGCAUCACUGGACCAGCGGCAGGAGGAUGCGGGGAGGAGGCAGUUGCACCAGGUAACACCCAUCAUCUGGAGCAGCACUGCCUGGGCCAGGCUUGAAGUUCUCUCUGCUCAGAUCCGGGAGAGCUCUCCGCUGGGACUCCUAGGAUUGUACUUUUAGAAAAGAGUUGCACUCCCUCGCCGAAAGUCUUUACCAAGCUUUACAUCGCCAGCUUAGUGGUGCCCAUUUCUCUCGCCUAGCUCUGCGUCUGGCCUCUGCUGUGUGAUUUUGGGGGCAGAUAUCCCAUCCUGCGGCCUGUUUCCUCACUUCUGUAAAAUGCGAGGGUUCGUGCGCUUCAUCUCUCAGAUCUCCAACGCUGAUUCUCUGAGCGCAAACAGAAAAUUACACAAACCUCCACCUAGGGUGGGAGAUUUGACUCAUCCCUGACACAACAGAGGGAGGUUUGUCGGAAUGUUGGAGGGUUGGGUUGCACCCCUUUCUCUGCAAAAGUCCUUAGUUCAGACUCUUGGUCUAUCCCACUGAGCUCAGCCUGAUCCCAGUCCAGUUAUCAGAAAAGGCAGGCUCUCCCAUGGUCCUGUCUGGACUCUAACGACCCUUUGGACCAGCAUCUCUGGCCAGAAGACAUCAGCCAUCGCCCUUUCUAUUUGCUAAAGUCCAAGCUUGGUUAAGGGGACUAUAAAUAGUAGGAACCCGUGUCUCAGCAUCUCACAAGUCAUUUUCCUCUCAGAACAUCUCUCUGUAAAACAGGCAUUGGGUUCCCUUGGAUCCUAAAAUUUCUCCCACCUGCAGCAAUCUCUGAAUCAUUCUCCUUCUCCCCACUCUCUAGAGUAGGCUCAACCUCUCCUCCCCACAGGACCUCCUGAGGUCCUUUUAGCCCCUUCACAGGCUGCAUGGGACAGUCUCUGCAGAGUGCCCCUCUGCCCAGCACUGGGGGCCUGCCACUCCAGGGGUGCUGGAGAGACAGGAGAUAGUCUUCUCUUUGUGGAGUUUACAUUCUAGCCAGAAGACCAGAAACACCAUCUGCACAGCAGCAGCUCAGCCCUUGUCUCUUUCCUGCCUGAAUUCCCUCUCAACAUGAAUGCAGUUGGGAAGCAGAGGUCCAGUAGCUCCUGAAGGGGUAAGGGCCUUGCCUGUCCAUUGUCCCCUGGUCUGCCUAGUCUCUGCAGGCCUGGGCAAGAUCACCUGGGAAGAUGAGAGCCAGGAGAACCCACACUUACCCAAAGCACCAGGAAGGGUGAGUGAAGAGAGAAGAUGCUGGCUAUGUGAGGAGCACUGGAGCUCCCGAGGUUUUAUACAUUGAGCCCUGACUCAUCUAUUGAUUCCGGCCAGCCUCUCACAUUUGGCCUCAGUUACGUGACCCAUGGCUGUUGCCCCACCUGCCUGUGAUUGCAGGCACAGGGUGGCCCAUUCAUGAAGAUUUUGGCAUUCUUGAGAUGGGCAGCCUCAUGUGUGACUGGCCCCUUCUCUGAUGCAACUGUGUGACAGUCUGGCCAGCAGGGACAGCCAGCCAGAGUGGAUGGCAGACAUUGUUUCCAAAGCCUCUGGCAUGGGAUGCGUGCCAUAACCAGAGGGCUGGGCUUGAGGAAUAGGUUCCCUAUUCUGAAGGUGGCCUAGAGGGUCAUGCUGGACAUCUCAGUCCUUGGCCCAAGGAGUAGGACCUUUCAAAUCUCACUGUUUGGCUUCUGAUCCCAUUGCUUGGAAACCCUCGGAACUUUAGAGAGAGCCUGUCUCUCUUUUGGCAAAAGUUUCUCCCCCAAGAUUUCAUGUGUGCUUUGCUGGGGUAUUUCUGUCUUGCCCUUGCAUUUGAGAGAGUGCGAGAGCCCCCGGCACCCAGUUCUGGGCCGCAUACCAUGGAUGCUGCUAUAACUAAUGGAACUCCGUAGCUCCUUUGAUUUGUUCUUGGAGACAGCAAGUGUCUGAGAAAAUUGUACAUUGGUCCUGACUUUCCCUGCAGAGGAGCAACCUAAAGAGAUUGACCAUGUGGUCUUUCCUUUGGCUCUGGGGUCUGUGGUCUUCUGCAUCAAGACUGACCCCAGCCUAAGAGGCAGCUGUGGAAUGGAAUAGACUUGAGGUUAGGUGACUGGUUUUGGGUGCUCCCUUUUCUACUUGCCAACAGUGUCACCUUGGGCAGAGUCACAGCACCUUACUCAGUGGCCGCAUAUAGAAGCCCCUCGGAAAUUGCCAUCAUGGACAAAUCCAAAAUGAAGUAGACGUGGAAGGCUGAGAUUUGGAACAAACUGCUAUGGCUGGGAAGUAGCAAGUAGAGUCCUAUAGACCACCCAGCCUGGAAAGUAUCAUCCUAUUUGCUGCUGUCAUUCCAGGCCACGUAUCCUUCCAAGUACCCUUCCACGUGACCUUCCCUCUGCUUGUCUUGCCAAAUGGCAGUAGCAAAAAUGGAGGAGGGGCUUUGGUCUCAGCAGCCAGGUACCAUGACGAGUCCCAUUUUACUCCUGAAGAAAUGGAGGCAAAAAGAAGUAACAUACUUACUCAGGGUCGCACAACUCUAAGUGGCAGAUCCUUUAUAAAGGCUGGCCACCUUGACAAGGGUUUUACAAUCAGGACCUGAUUUUAUCUCUACAAUAACCCUGAGAAGUAGGUACUGAUCUCUCCAUUUAACAGGCACGACACAGGCUCUGGAGUCAGACCACAUAGGAUUGAUUCCCCGCUCUGCCACCUGCCAGUUGAAGGGCCCUGGAGGAUCUUGCAGGACUGCAGUUUCCUCCCUGGGAGAAGAAGGCAAGGAAGCUGGAGAGCAGACCAGCCUGCACCACACAUACACAAAUCGCAUCUCUAAAGAAUGUACACGGCAGAAAUGAAGGGUCCAAAGCAAACCAGCUGUGAAGCACAAAGACCAACCAGGACCCCAAACAUUCCAUCUCAUCCUUCCUGAUUGACUGUUGGGAUUCAAUCAUUUACAUAAUUUGUUUCAUUUUUUUUUUUUAAAGCACAACCCAUCCAAUCAUUUGCUGUUCUUUUUUAGGAAGCAGAGACAAAAUUACCCAAUUUUUGAUUUUUGCAACACCACCCACCUCUUCCCCACACCCAUGGUGGGAGUCAGUGAUCAGUGCAAAGUCCAUUGAAAUUCAGUUUGUUUUGAGGCUCGAUUGAGAGGCUGACUCUCUGAAAGAUGAAUGGAGGCAUCCUUGGCUGUUACACACCCAGGGAUGGGUGAAUUUUUGCCCCAAGGGAGCUGAACUAGGCUUCUGUGGUCUCCUCUGACAACCAUAAUCUUCCUACAGUUGAGACUUUCUACUAGACUGCUGAGAACAAUACUUAUUCACAGAGGUCCAUGAAAUACAGAAAGAACUGUCUUCAGAGACACAGAGCAAGUCCUGAAACACUGAGGAAGUCUGGAGGCAAGAACAGGGUGCACACAGAGGUACCCACAGGAGAAGGUCACCAUUGCAUGGGCUGGGGAUGGGUUUUCAUCUCUUGGCCAUCUUCUUGACCCCAGAUGGCAUUAUAAGCAGCUACUUUCCCUUGCCAGGGGGUAAGCACUUCUCCUGGACUUUCUGUGGGCAAACCUCCACACAUUUUGUCUGAGAUAGCUCCUGGCAUGGCUCCACACACUGAGGUGGGCAUUGGUCUUGGCAUGGAGGUAGGCAUGGAUCUUGGCCUUGCUGUGGGCAGUUUUCUUGGUUUAACUCCUGGCACUGAGGAAGACACGCCUGCUGAGAUUGCACUGGGCACUUUUCUUGGCAGGGGUCUUGGCGUGGGGGGAGGCACACCUCCUCAGUCUUUGCCUGGCACUGCUCUUGGAUCUUCUGAAGACACGGAGGAGGCGUGCAUGGCUGCUUGCACUGCUGCUCAUUAAAAGACAUCCUAGGGUGAUUUGCAGAACCUGA
Molecule: long non-coding RNA, 4039 nt
Filed under: Equus caballus (horse)
Lineage: Eukaryota; Metazoa; Chordata; Mammalia; Perissodactyla; Equidae
Description: lncRNA (ENSECAG00000041411.2)
Source: RNAcentral